AUCUAAAUGACGAGUCUCAAAUAGGACGAAACACACGUCCUGAAU
This 45-nucleotide non-coding RNA is filed under the name Schistosoma bovis. RNAcentral also lists the same sequence under 1 other name. Lineage: Eukaryota; Metazoa; Platyhelminthes; Trematoda; Strigeidida; Schistosomatidae. The record is from RNAcentral.